UAGGGAAUCUUCCGCAAUGGACGCAAGUCUGACGGAGCAAUGCCGCGUGAGUGAAGAAGGAUUUCGGUUCGUAAAACUCUGUUGUUAGAGAAGAACAGCGCAUAGAGUAACUGUUAUGCGUGUGACGGUAUCUAACCAGAAAGCCACGGCUAACUACGUGCCAGCAGCCGCGGUAAUACGUAGGUGGCAAGCGUUGUCCGGAUUUAUUGGGCGUAAAGCGAGCGCAGGCGGUCAAUUAAGUCUGAUGUGAAAGCCCCCGGCUCAACCGGGGAGGGUCAUUGGAAACUGGUUGACUUGAGUGCAGAAGAGGAGAGUGGAAUUCCAUGUGUAGCGGUGAAAUGCGUAGAUAUAUGGAGGAACACCAGUGGCGAAGGCGACUCUCUGGUCUGUAACUGACGCUGAGGUUCGAAAGCGUGGGUAGCAAACAGG
RNAcentral lists this ribosomal RNA (429 nucleotides) under Bacteroidota bacterium. RNAcentral's name for it is "Bacteroidetes bacterium partial 16S ribosomal RNA". It matches the Rfam family "Bacterial small subunit ribosomal RNA", at positions 355 to 776 of the family's 1533-position model. The record is from RNAcentral. Lineage: Bacteria; Pseudomonadati; Bacteroidota.